AUAUUUUGACAAACGCUGCAUUCAAAGUAAUGUAGAGGAAAGUCCAUGCUUGCACUAUCUGAGAUGAUAGUAGUGAUUGUGCAUGAGGAAAAAAUAACUCAUGGUAGUACUUUGUACUAACGGCUAGGAGGUAACCUAAGUUAUUUAAUAUGGUUAUAGUACUUAUAAAGUGCCACAGAGACGAUUUUCUUCAGAAAUGAAGAAGUGAAACGCGGUAAACCCCACAAGCAAGAAACCCAAAAUUAUGGUAGGGGAACUUGAAGAGAGGAAUCAAACAAUCUUCAGGAUCGAUUAAUCGAUAGAUAAAUGUUUGUCGCCUAGAAAUAGGAACAGAACAUGGCUUAUAAAA
Molecule: RNase P RNA, 349 nt
Filed under: Mycoplasmatota bacterium
Lineage: Bacteria; Bacillati; Mycoplasmatota
Description: Tenericutes bacterium (anaerobic digester metagenome) RNase P RNA component class B
Rfam family: Bacterial RNase P class B
About the family: Ribonuclease P (RNase P) is a ubiquitous endoribonuclease, found in archaea, bacteria and eukarya as well as chloroplasts and mitochondria.
Source: RNAcentral